RNAcentral lists this ribosomal RNA (465 nucleotides) under uncultured bacterium. Its description in RNAcentral is "partial 16S ribosomal RNA". It matches the Rfam family "Bacterial small subunit ribosomal RNA", at positions 338 to 795 of the family's 1533-position model. The record is from RNAcentral.
CCUACGGGGGGCAGCAGUGAGGAAUAUUGGUCAAUGGGCGAAAGCCUGACGCAGCGACGCCGCGUGAGGGAUGAAGGUCUUCGGAUCGUAAACCUCUGUCAGCAGGGAAGAACGGUCACUGUGCUAAUCAGCAGUGAAUUGACGGUACCUGCAAAGGAAGCACCGGCUAACUCCGUGCCAGCAGCCGCGGUAAUACGGAGGGUGCGAGCGUUAAUCGGAAUUACUGGGCGUAAAGCGCUCGUAGGCGGUAUGUCAAGUCAAGGGUGAAAGCCCCGCGCUCAACGUGGGAACUGCCUUUGAAACUGGCAAACUGGAGUGUGUGAGAGGAUAGUGGAAUUCCAGGUGUAGGAGUGAAAUCCGUAGAUAUCUGGAAGAACAUCAGUGGCGAAGGCGAUUAUCUGGCACAUAACUGACGCUGAGGAGCGAAAGCGUGGGUAGCAAACAGGAUUAGAUACCCCAGUAGUC